Molecule: ribosomal RNA, 483 nt
Filed under: uncultured bacterium
Lineage: Bacteria
Description: bacterial SSU rRNA
Rfam family: Bacterial small subunit ribosomal RNA
Source: RNAcentral
CGUGCCUAAUACAUGCAAGUCGAGCGGAGUUAGAGAAGCUUGCUUCUCUAACUUUAGCGGCGGACGGGUGAGUAACACGUGGGCAACCUACCUUGUAGAUUGGGAUAACUCCGGGAAACCGGGGCUAAUACCGAAUAAUCCAUUUUUGCUUCAUGGCGAGAUGUUGAAAGACGGUUUCGGCUGUCACUACAAGAUGGGCCCGCGGCGCAUUAGCUAGUUGGUAGGGUAAUGGCCUACCAAGGCGACGAUGCGUAGCCGACCUGAGAGGGUGAUCGGCCACACUGGGACUGAGACACGGCCCAGACUCCUACGGGAGGCAGCAGUAGGGAAUCUUCCACAAUGGACGAAAGUCUGAUGGAGCAACGCCGCGUGAGUGAAGAAGGUUUUCGGAUCGUAAAACUCUGUUGUAAGGGAAGAACACGUACGAGAGUAACUGCUCGUACCUUGACGGUACCUUAUUAGAAAGCCACGGCUAACUACGUG